UGUGGGAGCGGGCUUGCUCGCGAAUGCGCCGGGUCAGUUCAUACGUUGUUGACUGACACUCCGUAUUCGCGAGCAAGCCCGCUCCCACA
This 89-nucleotide unclassified non-coding RNA is filed under the name Pseudomonas yamanorum. The record is from RNAcentral. Lineage: Bacteria; Pseudomonadati; Pseudomonadota; Gammaproteobacteria; Pseudomonadales; Pseudomonadaceae.